This 433-nucleotide ribosomal RNA is filed under the name uncultured bacterium. RNAcentral describes it as "partial 16S ribosomal RNA". It matches the Rfam family "Bacterial small subunit ribosomal RNA", at positions 29 to 507 of the family's 1533-position model. The record is from RNAcentral.
AACGAACGCUGGCGGCAUGCCUAACACAUGCAAGUCGAACGAGACCUUCGGGUCUAGUGGCGCACGGCUGCGUAACGCGUGGGAACCUGCCCUUAGGUUCGGAAUAACUCCCCGAAAGGGGUGCCAAUACCGGAUAAUGUCUUCGGACCAAAGAUUUAUCGCCUUUGGAUGGGCCCGCGUUGGUUUAGCUAGUUGGUAGGGUAAAAGCCUACCAAGGCGACGAUCCAUAGCUGGUCUGAGAGGAUGAUCAGCCACACUGGGACUGAGACACGGCCCAGACUCCUACGGGAGGGAGCAGUGGGGAAUAUUGGACAAUGGGCGAAAGCCUGAUCCAGCAAUGCCGCGUGAGUGAUGAAGGCCUUAGGGUUGUAAAGCUCUUUUACCCGGGAUGAUAAUGACAGUACCGGGAGAAUAAGCUCCGGCUAACUCCGUG